RNAcentral lists this ribosomal RNA (801 nucleotides) under uncultured Pelagibacteraceae bacterium. Its description in RNAcentral is "bacterial SSU rRNA". It matches the Rfam family "Bacterial small subunit ribosomal RNA", at positions 35 to 884 of the family's 1533-position model. Lineage: Bacteria; Pseudomonadati; Pseudomonadota; Alphaproteobacteria; Candidatus Pelagibacterales; Candidatus Pelagibacteraceae. The record is from RNAcentral.
GCUGGCGGCACGCCUAACACAUGCAAGUCGAACGAAGUAGCAAUACUUAGUGGCAGACGGGUGAGUAACAUGUAGGUAUCUACCCUUUGGCCUGGAAUAACACGAGGAAACUUGUGCUAAUACCGGAUAAGUCUUUACGGAGAAAGCUUUAUGCACCAUUGGAUGAGCCUGCACUUGAUUAGUUUGUUGGUGGGGUAAUGGCCUACCAAGACUGUGAUCAAUAGCUGAUUUGAGAGGAUGAUCAGCCACAUUGGGACUGAGACACGGCCCAAACUCCUACGGGAGGCAGCAGUGGGGAAUCUUGCACAAUGGAGGAAACUCUGAUGCAGCGAUGCCGCGUGAGUGAAGAAGGCCUUUGGGUUGUAAAGCUCUUUCGUCGGGGAAGAAAAUGACUGUACCCGAAUAAGAAGGUCCGGCUAACUUCGUGCCAGCAGCCGCGGUAAUACGAAGGGACCUAGCGUAGUUCGGAAUUACUGGGCUUAAAGAGUUCGUAGGUGGUUGAAAAAGUUGGUGGUGAAAUCCCAGAGCUUAACUCUGGAACUGCCAUCAAAACUUUUCAGCUAGAGUAUGAUAGAGGAAAGCAGAAUUUCUAGUGUAGAGGUGAAAUUCGUAGAUAUUAGAAAGAAUACCAAUUGCGAAGGCAGCUUUCUGGAUCAUUACUGACACUGAGGAACGAAAGCAUGGGUAGCGAAGAGGAUUAGAUACCCUCGUAGUCCAUGCCGUAAACGAUGUGUGUUAGACGUUGGAAAUUUAUUUUCAGUGUCGCAGUGAAAGCGAUAAACACACCGCCUGGGGAGUACG